GUGGAUGUUGGGUUAAGUCCCGCAACGAGCGCAACCCUUAUCCCUAGUUGCCAUCAGGUAAAGCUGGGAACUCUGGGGAGACUGCCGGUGAUAAACCGGAGAAGGCGGGGAUGACGUCAAGUCCUCAUGGCCCUUACAUCCCGGGCUACACACGUGCUACAAUGGCAGGUACAGAGGGCUGCGAAGCCGCGAGGUGGAGCGAAUCCCAGAAAACCUGUCUCAGUCCGGAUUGAAGUCUGCAACUCGACUUCAUGAAGGCGGAAUCGCUAGUAACCGCGAAUCAGCAGGUCGCGGUGAAUACGUUCCCGGGCCUU
RNAcentral lists this ribosomal RNA (314 nucleotides) under uncultured Latescibacterota bacterium. Its description in RNAcentral is "bacterial SSU rRNA". It matches the Rfam family "Bacterial small subunit ribosomal RNA", at positions 1067 to 1382 of the family's 1533-position model. Lineage: Bacteria; Pseudomonadati; Candidatus Latescibacterota. The record is from RNAcentral.